AGAGUUUGAUCCUGGCUCAGGACGAACGCUGGCGGCGUGCCUAAUACAUGCAAGUCGAGCGCACCGCGGGGAGCUUGCUUCCGGCGGUGAGCGGCGGAUGGGUGAGUAACACGUGGGCAACCUGCCGGGCAGACGGGGAUAACUGAGGGAAACCGCAGCUAAGACCGGAUAGGGCGCACGCACCGCCUGGUGCGUGCGGGAAAGGCGGCUACGGCCGCGCUGCCCGAGGGGCCCGCGGUGCAUUAGCCAGUUGGCGGGGCAGAGGCCCACCAAAGCAACGAUGCAUAGCCGACCUGAGAGGGUGAUCGGCCACAUUGGGACUGAGACACGGCCCAGACUCCUACGGGAGGCAGCAGUGGGGAAUUUUGGACAAUGGGGGAAACCCUGAUCCAGCCAUCCCGCGUGUGCGAUGAAGGCCUUCGGGUUGUAAAGCACUUUUGUCAGGGAAGAAAAGGUUCUGGCUAAUACCCGGAACUGAUGACGGUACCUGAAGAAUAAGCACCGGCUAACUACGUGCCAGCAGCCGCGGUAAUACGUAGGGUGCAAGCGUUAAUCGGAAUUACUGGGCGUAAAGCGUGCGCAGGCGGUUCGGAAAGAAGGAUGUGAAAUCCCAGGGCUCAACCUUGGAACUGCAUUCUUAACUACCGAACUAGAGUAUGUCAGAAGGGGGUAGAAUUCCGCGUGUAGCAGUGAAAUGCGUAGAUAUGCGGAGGAAUACCGAUGGCGAAGGCAGCCCCCUGGGAUAAUACUGACGCUCAUGCACGAAAGCGUGGGUAGCAAACAGGAUUAGA
RNAcentral lists this ribosomal RNA (791 nucleotides) under uncultured bacterium. RNAcentral describes it as "bacterial SSU rRNA". It matches the Rfam family "Bacterial small subunit ribosomal RNA", at positions 8 to 782 of the family's 1533-position model. The record is from RNAcentral.